Molecule: non-coding RNA, 232 nt
Organism: Cajanus cajan (pigeon pea)
Lineage: Eukaryota; Viridiplantae; Streptophyta; Magnoliopsida; Fabales; Fabaceae
Source: RefSeq, a predicted model, not a curated record
AACUUUUAGUUAUUUGUCCUAUGGACAACAUAGCUGUAUGCAUUUGCUCGUUGCAUAAACCUCCUCCUAUGGAUUUUAGACAAUUAUUAGAUAGGGCCAUGGAAGGAUAUCAUAUACUUAAGGGUUCAAAGUUGAAGAAGAAAAUGAGUUGGGUCUCUCCUAAAUCUCAUAAACAAAAAGGAAAUUAUGAGUGCGAAUACUAUGUAAUGAAGACAAUGCAUACUAUUGUUGA